UUUAUGUGGAGGUAAUGUAAGGGAUGGUUGCCUAGUAGAGUUGUUCUGCAUCAUAAACAUGUUUUAGAUGACCAGACUUGUCCUUGUUGUAAUUUUGAAACUGAAGCUUUAAGCCAUGUUUUUUUGGGACUGUGACCAAGUUACGUGCUUUUGGGAAGAGGCUGGACUCUUGCAUUUAAAGAAUUUGCUAGAUGAAAGGGAUUUGGUG
Molecule: long non-coding RNA, 208 nt
Filed under: Ricinus communis (castor bean)
Lineage: Eukaryota; Viridiplantae; Streptophyta; Magnoliopsida; Malpighiales; Euphorbiaceae
Description: long non-coding RNA (RCOM_LNC000409)
Source: RNAcentral